GUUGAUUCAGUCUUUUAUCCUUCUGAGGUUGGUAAAAUGAAGACCCAGAUUGUUGGGGAUAAAAUGCUGAUGUUGUAAAUGCUCAGAGGUGGUAUAUUUUGG
This is a non-coding RNA of Pseudonaja textilis, 102 nucleotides long. The record is from RefSeq and is a predicted model, not a curated record. NCBI's taxonomy places the organism in Eukaryota, Metazoa, Chordata, Lepidosauria, Squamata, Elapidae.